UUUGGUGACUGCGCUCCUCUAAGCCAGUUACCUUGGUUCAAUCACCUGCAAGUGUUUGAACCUUCGGAAAAACCGCCCUGCAAGGCGGUUUUUUCGU
Molecule: non-coding RNA, 97 nt
Filed under: Klebsiella grimontii
Lineage: Bacteria; Pseudomonadati; Pseudomonadota; Gammaproteobacteria; Enterobacterales; Enterobacteriaceae
Source: RNAcentral